CUACGUGCCAGCAGCCGCGGUAAUACGUAGGUGGCAAGCGUUGUCCGGAAUUAUUGGGCGUAAAGCGCGCGCAGGCGGAUUGGUCAGUCUGUCUUAAAAGUUCGGGGCUUAACCCCGUGAUGGGAUGGAAACUGCCAAUCUAGAGUAUCGGAGAGGAAAGUGGAAUUCCUAGUGUAGCGGUGAAAUGCGUAGAUAUUAGGAAGAACACCAGUGGCGAAGGCGACUUUCUGGACGAAAACUGACGCUGAGGCGCGAAAGCCAGGGGAGCGAACGGGAUUAGAUACCCCGGUAGUCCACGCCGUAAACGAUGAGUGCUAAGUGUUGGAGGGUUUCCGCCCUUCAGUGCUGCAGUUAACGCAUUAAGCACUCCGCCUGGGGAGUACGACCGCAAGGUUGAAACUCAAAGGAAUUGACGGGGGCCCGCACAAGCGGUGGAGUAUGUGGUUUAAUUCGACGCAACGCGAAGAACCUUACCAGGUCUUGACAU
Molecule: ribosomal RNA, 487 nt
Filed under: uncultured bacterium
Lineage: Bacteria
Description: bacterial SSU rRNA
Rfam family: Bacterial small subunit ribosomal RNA
Source: RNAcentral